UGCAAGUCGAACGGUGAAAGAGAGCUUGCUCUCUGGAUCAGUGGCGAACGGGUGAGUAACACGUGAGCAAUCUGCCCCUGACUCUGGGAUAACAGUUGGAAACAGCUGCUAAUACCGGAUACGAGCUGUGAAGGCAUCUUCAACAGCUGGAAAGAACUUCGGUCAGGGAUGAGCUCGCGGCCUAUCAGCUAGUUGGUGAGGUAAUGGCUCACCAAGGCGUCGACGGGUAGCCGGCCUGAGAGGGUGACCGGCCACACUGGGACUGAGACACGGCCCAGACUCCUACGGGAGGCAGCAGUGGGGAAUAUUGCACAAUGGGCGCAAGCCUGAUGCAGCAACGCCGCGUGAGGGACGACGGCCUUCGGGUUGUAAACCUCUUUUAGCAAGGAAGAAGCGAAAGUGACGGUACUUGCAGAAAAAGCGCCGGCUAACUACGUGCCAGCAGCCGCGGUAAUACGUAGGGCGCAAGCGUUAUCCGGAAUUAUUGGGCGUAAAGAGCUCGUAGGCGGUUUGUCGCGUCUGCUGUGAAAACUGGGGGCUCAACCCCCAGCCUGCAGUGGGUACGGGCAGACUAGAGUGCGGUAGGGGAGAUUGGAAUUCCUGGUGUAGCGGUGGAAUGCGCAGAUAUCAGGAGGAACACCGAUGGCGAAGGCAGAUCUCUGGGCCGUAACUGACGCUGAGGAGCGAAAGGGUGGGGAGCAAACAGGCUUAGAUACCCUGGUAGUCCACCCCGUAAACGUUGGGAACUAGUUGUGGGGUCCAUUCCACGGAUUCCGUGACGCAGCUAACGCAUUAAGUUCCCCGCCUGGGGAGUACGGCCGCAAGGCUAAAACUCAAAGGAAUUGACGGGGACCCGCACAAGCGGCGGAGCAUGCGGAUUAAUUCGAUGCAACGCGAAGAACCUUACCAAGGCUUGACAUAUACGAGAACGGGCCAGAAAUGGUCAACUCUUUGGACACUCGUAAACAGGUGG
This 973-nucleotide ribosomal RNA is filed under the name Microbacterium lacus. Its description in RNAcentral is "bacterial SSU rRNA". It matches the Rfam family "Bacterial small subunit ribosomal RNA", at positions 56 to 1041 of the family's 1533-position model. The record is from RNAcentral. Lineage: Bacteria; Bacillati; Actinomycetota; Actinomycetes; Micrococcales; Microbacteriaceae.